RNAcentral lists this ribosomal RNA (499 nucleotides) under uncultured bacterium. RNAcentral's name for it is "partial 16S ribosomal RNA". It matches the Rfam family "Bacterial small subunit ribosomal RNA", at positions 28 to 507 of the family's 1533-position model. The record is from RNAcentral.
GACGAACGCUGGCGGCGUGCUUAACACAUGCAAGUCGAACGGGCCUGUCUUCUUUUUUGGGGGUGGGUUGAGUGGCGAACGGGUGAGUAUCACGUGAGUAACCUGCCCUUCGGUCCUGGAUAACCGCUUGAAAGGGCGGCUAAUACGGGGUGGUCCGGUUGGUCCGCAUGGGCUGGUCGGGAUAGAUUCACUGUUUUUGGUGUUUCGGCGGGGGAUGGGCUCGCGGCCUAUCAGCUUGUUGGUGGGGUGAUAGCCUACCAAGGCGGUGACGGGUAGCCGGCCUGAGAGGGUGGGCGGCCACACUGGGACUGAGAUACGGCCCAGACUCCUGCGGGAGGCAGCAGUGGGGGGUAUUGCACAAUGGGCGGAAGCCUGAUGCAGCGACGUCGCGUGAGGGAUGGAGGCCUUCGGGUUGUGAACCUCUGUUUCCGGUGGUGAAGGCCCUGUCCGUGUGGUGGGGUUGACGGUAGCCGGGGAUGAAGCGCCGGCUAACUACGUG